GCAGGAGUGGUUCAGUGGUAGAACGCUUGCCUUCCACAUGAGACACCUGGGUUUGGUCCCCGGCCAAUGCA
This 71-nucleotide transfer RNA is filed under the name Loxodonta africana (African savanna elephant). It matches the Rfam family "tRNA". Rfam says of the family: Transfer RNA (tRNA) molecules are approximately 80 nucleotides in length. Their secondary structure includes four short double-helical elements and three loops (D, anti-codon, and T loops). The record is from Rfam by way of RNAcentral. Lineage: Eukaryota; Metazoa; Chordata; Mammalia; Proboscidea; Elephantidae.